GACUGGGAUAACCCUGGGAAACUGGGGCUAAUACCGGAUAGGCAAUUAUUCCUGCAAUGGUUUUUUGUUUAAAUGUUUUUUCGCCUAAGGAUGGGUCUGCGGCCGAUUAGGUAGUUGGUUAGGUAAUGGCUUACCAAGCCGUUGAUCGGUACGGGUUGUGAGAGCAAGAGCCCGGAGAUGGAACCUGAGACAAGGUUCCAGGCCCUACGGGGUGCAGCAGGCGCGAAACCUCCGCAAUGUGAGAAAUCGCGACGGGGGGAUCCCAAGUGCCAUUCUUAACGGGAUGGCUUUUCAUUAGUGUAAAGAGCUUUUGGAAUAAGAGCUGGGCAAGACCGGUGCCAGCCGCCGCGGUAACACCGGCAGCUCUAGUGGUAACAAUUUUUAUUGGGCCUAAAGCGUCCGUAGCCGGUUUAAUAAGUCUCUGGUGAAAUCCUGUAGCUUAACUGUGGGAAUUGCUGGAGAUACUAUUAGACUUGAGACCGGGAGAGGUUAGAGGUACUCCCAGGGUAGAGGUGAAAUUCUGUAAUCCUGGGAGGACCGCCUGUUGCGAAGGCGUCUAACUGGAACGGUUCUGACGGUGAGGGACGAAAGUUAGGGGCGCGAACCGGAUUAGAUACCCGGGUAGUCCUAACUGUAAACGAUGCGGACUUGGUGUUGGGGUGGCUUUGAGCUGCUCCAGUGCCGAAGGGAAGCUGUUAAGUCCGCCGCCUGGGAAGUACGGUCGCAAGACUGAAACUUAA
This 740-nucleotide ribosomal RNA is filed under the name uncultured archaeon. Its description in RNAcentral is "bacterial SSU rRNA". It matches the Rfam family "Archaeal small subunit ribosomal RNA", at positions 119 to 859 of the family's 1478-position model. The record is from RNAcentral.